Long non-coding RNA from Humulus lupulus (European hop), 232 nucleotides. RefSeq lists it as uncharacterized. NCBI's taxonomy places the organism in Eukaryota, Viridiplantae, Streptophyta, Magnoliopsida, Rosales, Cannabaceae. The record is from RefSeq and is a predicted model, not a curated record. The transcript is spliced from 4 exons.
GUGGAAAUUAUGGCUCCUGUCUUUUCUCGAAAAGCUUGGCGAUGUGUAUGGCACAUGAUUCAGAAAGAACAUUGAAGUAUCCAAUUGGAGAAUAUUCACUCUACUUGCUUGGACACAGAUUAUAUGUAGGACGUGGGAUGCAAGAAAGCCAUGUCUCUGUGCUGAAGUACACAUUGUUCUGGAUACUAGUACUAUUGAGCAGAUUUUCUUUCAACUACUGGUUUGAGGUAAG